This 257-nucleotide ribosomal RNA is filed under the name uncultured bacterium. RNAcentral describes it as "partial 16S ribosomal RNA". It matches the Rfam family "Bacterial small subunit ribosomal RNA", at positions 524 to 778 of the family's 1533-position model. The record is from RNAcentral.
UACAGAGGGUGCUAGCGUUGUUCGGAAUCAUUGGGCGUAAAGAGCUCGUAGGCGGUCUGUCGCGUCGGCUGUGAAAUCCCGAGGCUCAACCUCGGGUCUGCAGUCGAUACGGGCAAACUAGAGUAUUGCAGGGGAGACUGGAAUUCCUGGUGUAGCGGUGAAAUGCGCAGAUAUCAGGAGGAACACCGGUGGCGAAGGCGGCAUUCUGGACCAUAACUGACACUGAGAGACGAAAAGCCAGGGGGAGCAAAACGGGG